Aethina tumida (small hive beetle) is the source of this 350-nucleotide long non-coding RNA. RefSeq lists it as uncharacterized. The transcript has 3 exons. Lineage: Eukaryota; Metazoa; Arthropoda; Insecta; Coleoptera; Nitidulidae. The record is from RefSeq and is a predicted model, not a curated record.
UGUAAAAGCCCCCACCACGCCUCCCACCAUGUUCCAGUGGUGCAAAUUUUGUCCUGCAAAUGGCGGCGUCAUUGUGUCUUCGAUCGUCGUGUCGAUCGGUUGGGUGGUGCAGCACUCCCGCUCCCUUCUACUUGGAGAGUCAACUGUAAAAACAACCACCACGCCUCCCCCCAUGUUCCAGUAGUGCAAAUUUUGUCCUGCAAAUGGCGGCGUCAUUGUGUCUUCGAUCGUCGUGUCGAUCGGUCGCGUGGUGCAGCACUCACGCUCCCUUAGUUCAUGUAGUGGUGCAGUCCCUUCUUUUUGAGGAUUGUAUUGAAGCCAUUCAAAAUAUAAUUAAAUAAUCGAUUCUA